This is a ribosomal RNA of Phymastichus coffea, 121 nucleotides long. NCBI's taxonomy places the organism in Eukaryota, Metazoa, Arthropoda, Insecta, Hymenoptera, Eulophidae. The record is from RefSeq and is a predicted model, not a curated record.
GCUAACGAGCAUAUCAUGCUGAUCACACCAGUUCUCGUCCGAUCACUGAAGUUAAGCAGCAUUGAGCGCGGCUAGUACUUGGAUGGGGGUGACCGCUUGGGAACCCCGCGUCUCGUUAGCU